GUGUGUUCCAGGUAAAUCCGGUUCACUUUAACACUGAGGCGUGAUGACGAGGCACUACGGUGCUGAAGCAACAAAUGCCCUGCUUCCAGGAAAAGCCUCUAAGCAUCAGGUAACAUCAAAUCGUACCCCAAACCGACACAGGUGGUCAGGUAGAGAAUACCAAGGCGCUUGAGAGAACUCGGGUGAAGGAACUAGGCAAAAUGGUGCCGUAACUUCGGGAGAAGGCACGCUGACAC
This 236-nucleotide ribosomal RNA is filed under the name Salmonella enterica. Its description in RNAcentral is "partial 23S ribosomal RNA". It matches the Rfam family "Bacterial large subunit ribosomal RNA", at positions 1525 to 1757 of the family's 2925-position model. The record is from RNAcentral. Lineage: Bacteria; Pseudomonadati; Pseudomonadota; Gammaproteobacteria; Enterobacterales; Enterobacteriaceae. RNAcentral also lists the same sequence under 1 other name.